RNAcentral lists this long non-coding RNA (634 nucleotides) under Brassica napus (rape). RNAcentral's name for it is "long non-coding RNA (BNAP_LNC002307)". Lineage: Eukaryota; Viridiplantae; Streptophyta; Magnoliopsida; Brassicales; Brassicaceae. The record is from RNAcentral.
AAAAAUUAACUAAAGACCAUGGAGAAAACAAGAGAAACUUAAAUUAAAGACAGUUUCCAUGAAUUCUCGAAAUUGAACGCUUUGAGUAAUGGAGCGUAUAAUUAAAUUAAAUAUUGUUCCUUCGAUGUUUGGCAUUCGUUAUACCAAAUUAUUUGACAAAAUAAGAACUCGUACGCCGGUGUAUGUUUUUUUUUUAAACUGAUUUUACGUCGUGUAUUCAGUCUUAGUUUUCUAUAGAGAACGAGUCGAGCAGGAAAUAAUUUAUUAGUUAAUGACGCAUUUUAUGUUAUCUUUGUCAUAUGGAUAGGAUACACAUUGUCUCACAUUCACUUUACAUCAGUAGAGUUAGUGUCAUAGGAAGAAGAAGCACAGGUAGAGGAACCAAGAGGAGGAUAAGAGAUGGCUAAGUAGAUAAGCAUAAGCAUCAGCACCACCGGAAUUCCCAUCAGAAACAUUGGCGGCGGUGGAAGCGGCGGAAGAACGGCCGGAAGCACCACCAAAAUCACUAUCACCACUGCGAGCAUAAACAUUGCGAUGAUCCUUCUUGUACAAAAACGUGAAACUUCUCUAGUUCUUUCAAAGGCUUUCAAGUUUUCUUCAAUGUUCCUGCACAUAGAUGUGUGUGUGUAUAUAU